CUCUAAGUAGCUUAUCCAUAAAGCAUUGGCCUUUUAAGCCACCGAAGGACCCCACCAGUCCCCUAGAUC
This 69-nucleotide transfer RNA is filed under the name Cyrtodactylus thirakhupti (Thirakhupts bent toed gecko). RNAcentral describes it as "tRNA Lys". Lineage: Eukaryota; Metazoa; Chordata; Lepidosauria; Squamata; Gekkonidae. The record is from RNAcentral.